Homo sapiens (human) is the source of this 644-nucleotide long non-coding RNA. NCBI's taxonomy places the organism in Eukaryota, Metazoa, Chordata, Mammalia, Primates, Hominidae. The record is from Ensembl.
UCGGUGAGGGGGAACACCAAGGUUUUGAUACAAAGUAUGGAAACAAGGGCUGAUGAGAUGGAAGCACUCCUGGAAGCCUGACAAGCUCCACACAGUCCUACAGCGUUCCACCAUGUAAAAUCAGGCCUUCAUUUUGAACUUGGAAAUCUCCCCACUCGCAGGCAGUGGCAAUGCCAGCAAGCCACAGGUGGGCACCACAUGAGCAGAAUGAAGGUAGAUGCCUUGACUCAGAAUUGGUGGCUGUUUUAAAAGCUGGCCUUGCUUUGGACCAUUGUUGGGACUGUCUUCUUCAGCAAACAGUGAUCAUGAAACCAAAUUCAGCUUUCUUCAGGAAAAGGACAAAAACUGGGGUAUACCACUGGAUCUACUAUGGAAAAGUGUUUGAGUGAUGCCCACCUAAUAUAGAAGAACUUGUCAUAGCUCUGAUGCAGCGACAAUUGACCACUUGCUUUUACAUAAACACUAGGAAGAAAGGCAUGGCAUCAAGUGUUUUGAGAGCUGAAUUACAUCAAUAUUUCCUUUUCAGAAAAUCUAAAAUUAUUUCAAUGCACAAAAGGUACAUACUGAAUGUAAUUAUAACUCUUCAAAAAAAUCAAUCUCUUUCUCUUUUUAAACUUACAUAAAAAUAAAUUAUCUGACUAUUU